CUCACUCCGCCCACCGUUCAGUACGUUGAAAUACUCUACCGGUGUGUCUAUGUGUCGCUGCUCGCAAAGAGACAAGGCGGCGCGCUGUACCUACAGAGAGGACAAAAAAACAAACAAGCAAAAAAAAAAAAAAACCCACUGGACGCAUAGUCUGGGACGAGCAGACGGCACUUCUUUUAGCUAGACCGAAGCCACUGACACCGUCCGUACUCACCCGGCUCCUUUCUCCUUUGUUUUCAGUGUAAAACUUCGGCUUUGUCAGCAUUUACCGGUGUGCCACUCACCUCUCGCACGUUACUUUUGACACGGGUUGUCCCCGUUUGAAUCUCGGGGGCUCCUCGUCGGGGAGAAAGAAAACCAAAAGCCUGUACUUUACCGCGGACCUCCUGAGCUACCUCUGAAAUCACAGAAAAGUGGUAGCAGCCACCAGACAGGGUCCUUCGUAGUUACUGGGAUGUUAGAGCUCUGGAAGCAGGACCAGGACUGACUAUAGGAGCAUGGUGAAACACCAACCCCUCCAGGUCUAUGAGCGCCAACUGUGUUUGUCAUGUAUCACAGGGAUCUAUGGUUGCCGCUGGAAACGCUAUCAGCGUUCCCAUGAUGACACCACCAAGUGGGAGUUGCUGUGGUCCCUCAUCCUCCUUUUUACCUUCUGUCUACUGCUGGUCUGGUUCUACUUCUGGUGGGAGGCACAUAAUGACUACAACGAAUUCAACUGGUUCCUCUACAAUCGCUCUGGGGAGUGGAGUGAUGGCACUGUUCCCAUCCUGGCCACCACAGCUGCUGGAUUCACCUAUGUUGCGUUUUUAAUGGUUUUAGCACUUUGCCACAUUGCACUUGGGCAACAGUUAAAUUUGCACUGGAUCCAUAAGAUAGGAGUGACUGCUACUCUGCUCACCACCAUCAUUGGGGUGAUAUCCAUCAAUCAAACAUGGGGGCAAGAGUGGGAUGUCAUUCCCAUCUCCCUGCAGGCUACAGGUCCGUUCCUGCACAUAGGAGCUCUUGCUGCGGUCACAGCAUUGUCUUGGAUUGUGGCUGGACAGGUCGCCCGUGCAGAAAAAACAGUGUUCCAGGUGGUGGUCAUGCUGCUGUAUUUCAGUGUGUUACUAGGACUCUAUGUGAUGCCACUCUACAUCACCUCCCCCUGCAUCAUGGAGCCCACCACCCUCAAACCAUGUCCUGAUGUUAUUGGUCAUCAGGGAGCUCCCAUGCUUGCUCCAGAGAACACACUGUGGUCCUUCCAGCGAGCUCUGCAGAUGAAUGUCAGUGGUUUGGAGGCUGAUGUGGCUAUCAGUGUGGAUGGAGUGCCUUUCCUGAUGCACGAUCGCACCCUGCAGAGGACCACAGACGUAGGGAAGGUUUUCCCAGACAGACAGAUGGACGAAGCCUCAUUCUUCAACUGGACAGAUCUACAACAGCUCAACGCAGGACAGUGGUUCCUGAAGGAUGACCCCUUCUGGAUGGUGCACACCCUGUCUCCGCAAGAGAAGGCUCUGAUUGCCAACCAGAGUGUGAGCAGCCUGGAGCAGCUUCUAAAGCUGGCCUCCUAUCAUAACAGCACAGUGGUUUUCAGGCUCAGGAGACCUCCUCCAGAACACCCCUCCUACCACAGCUGGAUCAACGAUACACUGCAUGCUGUGCAGCAAUCUGGUGUUCCUCAGAACUUGGUAAUGUGGACUCCAGAUGAGCACAGAGCUCAGGUGAGACAGCUGGCACCUGGUCUGAUCCAGACCUCAGUAGAGAAACUAAGUCCUCAAAGUCUCCAUCAGUUGGGCAUCAGCAGGCUGCUUCUAAGAUAUAACCAGGCCAGCACACGGGAAAUCAGUGACUUCUCCGAGAGCCACAUCAACCUCACCCUCUACACUGUCAACGAGCCCUGGCUGUAUUCAGUGCUCUGGUGCAGCGGAGUGUCUUCAGUCUCCUCAGAGGCACCGCAUAUCCUCAGAAAGGUGCCUUACCCCAUCUGGCUCAUGAGACCACAUGAAUACUGCCUGAUGUGGGUGUCUGCAGACCUCAUCUCCUUUGCUGUAGUCAUAGGAAUAUUCAUUUUCCAGAACUAUCACAUGAUCAGGUAUCGGAUGAGCGGUAUGCGCAGCUACAACCCUGAGCAGAUCAUGCUGAGUGCCGCAGUCAGGAGGUCAAGUCGAGACAUCAGUGUCAUGAAGGAGAAACUUAUCUUUUCUGGUCAGCCCCAGUAGGCGCCUGCCUCCACCAUCCUUCGUGUGUGAUGUGCACCACCUCCUGUCCAUCCUACCUCCUCUCAUCUCCUCAGCCAGCAGUGACCUCUUCCUUUUUAUUCCAUGCAUCUGUUGCAUCCCAUGUUACCUGCCAUCUCUCUGCCUACUUUGCCCUUCUCCCACCUUCAUCCAUUCAUCCGUCGCUUCAUGCACCAAAUCUGCCCCUCCCAAUGGAGACAGCAUUAUGUGUAGGGAGCUAAUAGACGCCCCAGUCUGUCUAGACAACCUCUAGUGCUGGGGGUAAAAGAGGUGAGAAACGGAGUUGGCAGUGCUGAGGAGCUGUAUGCGGACAAUGGCUACAACUACUACACCAAUCAGGGCAUCAGCCAGUGAUUGUAACUAAGCCCGUGUGAGUCUGCUGCGGUGAGACGGAAUCUACAACACGCUGUGUUCAAAUCAUUCCUGUUUUACUCAGUGUAAAGUCUUUUUCUUCUCCUCUGUCCUACUGAUAAACUGACAGACUGCUGUACCUGACAGAGAAAACAGCCACCCCGUUGCUUUGUGUACAUUCUGUAAAUAGGGUUUUUGUUUGUCAGACAUACUGUAUAUCACACGGGACUACACGCACUUUUUAUUUAUGGAAUUCGUCAAAUCUGUGGCCUCCUCCUCUCACAUCUAAAUGUCCAAGAGGCCCCCCCGAGUUACCGAUGCCUGCUUCUUCUCAAAGACGAGUUUCAAGAUUCUUUACAUUAAGCUCAUUUUCCAAAGCAGAUUUUAAUCACUGUAAAUGAUAUUCCUCUAUUAGCAGAUACAUUUGUAUUUAACAAGGCUUUUUAACAAACCUUUAUUGCAGCAUGAGAUAAAAAGCUUAAUAGAUCAUUGUGAUCCUGCCUUCUGUCAGCAUUCCACUGUGCUGUUGUUGAUAAUAGUACUAACUUUAAUAUUUAUAUUUAAAGCUAAAAACAAAAAAAACACAAACAAGCUGUUUACAAAAGUCCUGCCUUCUCCUCCAGGUGAAAUAUUCACAUGGUGUACGUAAGAUAAUUUUGAUAGAGGCUGAAUGAACCCCCUGCCCUACUUUUGAUCAGUGCAUGUUACAGUAGUGAUCAUAUCAAAUGAUCUGUGUGAGCUGUGCUCCCAGUGUGUAACCAGAGGAACUGGAGAAAAUGGUUUGGCGUGGAGAUUUGUGCUGUCUUUUAAUGGUUAAUGUGAAUGUGUUAUGGAUUAUGUUUUUCUUUUUUCUUUUUUUUUUUAAAGAUGUGUACGGUGUAUUGUGUGUAUCCUGGCUGGAAGUGUAUUUUUUUACCCUGUGUGCAGUCCUAUGUUGAACGUGUUAUUGUGUAUAUAAAAGGUGAUCCAAUGUGAGAGAUGCUCCAGGCAAAUAAGAAUUACAUUUGAACAAUGUGACAGCUCAAUAAUUACAAUAGCAAUAUUCUGGUCAUGGUGGAAGUCCUUUCACUUCCAACACAGCCUCUGGAUUGCAGUUAGGUCUGUGGUAUUGUAGUGCUGACAAACAAAAUGCAUCUUCAUGUUAGUUUCUGGUGUAAAACUGAAUGCUGUACGGUAAAUGAAAUGGGUGCUAAAUGUGAAAAUAAAGCUCCAACCUAACUGAAGGGACUCUACUACAGGUAUCGCAAUAGGCAGCGCUGGGUCAAGAAAUUGAUUGCCUUUUGUGUUGACUUUCUCUCUUUGAGUAUUACUGUGCCUCAAGUAAACAUUAAAAAAAAAAUGUUCUAAUACAGGAAGACACAUCAUGGUUAUUAUUUGUUGUGAUUUAUUUUCUAACAUCUCAAUCUUUUCAUGUUUACGAACUUGUCUCAUCUUUUUUUACUGUGCGUCUACGGUAUAAGACGGCAUUACUCUUAGCAUUGUAUAUUUGUAAACAUUUCUGACUCCUGUACAGCUGCCAAAGUGAUGUAAGCAAUCGUGUUUGCCUACAUAAAACUUUUAAAGUGU
Molecule: RNA transcript, 4133 nt
Organism: Xiphias gladius (swordfish)
Lineage: Eukaryota; Metazoa; Chordata; Actinopteri; Istiophoriformes; Xiphiidae
Gene: gdpd5b
Gene name: glycerophosphodiester phosphodiesterase domain containing 5b
Exons: 18
Source: RefSeq, a predicted model, not a curated record